RNAcentral lists this transfer RNA (85 nucleotides) under Felis catus (domestic cat). It matches the Rfam family "tRNA". From Rfam's summary of the family: Transfer RNA (tRNA) molecules are approximately 80 nucleotides in length. Their secondary structure includes four short double-helical elements and three loops (D, anti-codon, and T loops). Lineage: Eukaryota; Metazoa; Chordata; Mammalia; Carnivora; Felidae. The record is from Rfam by way of RNAcentral.
GCCUGGGUGGCUCAGUCGGUUAAGCGUCCGACUUCAGCUCGGGUCAUGAUCUCGCGGUCCGUGGGUUCGAGCCCCGCGUCGGGCU